Molecule: unclassified non-coding RNA, 220 nt
Filed under: air metagenome
Description: partial contains small subunit ribosomal RNA, internal transcribed spacer 1, and 5.8S ribosomal RNA
Rfam family: Eukaryotic small subunit ribosomal RNA (bases 1-46)
Source: RNAcentral
AAGUCGUAACAAGGUCUCCGUUGGUGAACCAGCGGAGGGAUCAUUACAGGACUCGCAAGGCUCCCGUAACCACUGUGAACUUACCGAAACGUUGCCUCGGCGGGCGCCCCGGACGCGGGUGCCGCCCGCCAAAGGCCCAUUAACUCUGUCUUACACCGUUGGCAUCUCCGAGUCCAUCUUAAACGAGUUAAAACUUUCAACAACGGAUCUCUUGGUUCUG